GGUAGGUUGGCCGAGUGGUUAAGGCGGUGGACUUAACUUCUCCUGGAGUCAGUCUCUGAGUGGGUUCGAACUCCAUACCUAUCA
RNAcentral lists this transfer RNA (84 nucleotides) under Fasciola hepatica (liver fluke). RNAcentral's name for it is "tRNA-Leu". It matches the Rfam family "tRNA". From Rfam's summary of the family: Transfer RNA (tRNA) molecules are approximately 80 nucleotides in length. The record is from RNAcentral. Lineage: Eukaryota; Metazoa; Platyhelminthes; Trematoda; Plagiorchiida; Fasciolidae.